AUACAGAGGUCCCAAGCGUUGUUCGGAAUCACUGGGCGUAAAGGGUGCGUAGGCGGUAGUGUAAGACUUAGGUGAAAUCUCCAUGCUUAACGUGGAGCUCGCCUGGGAGACUGCAUUACUUGAGGAUUGGAGGGGAGACUGGAAUUCUUGGAGUAGCAGUGAAAUGCGUAGAUAUCAAGAGGAGGACCAGUGGCGAAGGCGAGUCUCUGGACAAUACCUGACGCUGAGGCACGAAGGCCAGGGGAUCAAACGGGAUUAGAUACCCCGGUAGUCCUGGCAGUAAACGGUGCACACUUGUUGUGUGAGGGAUCGACCCCUUACGUGGCGAAGCCAACGCAUUAAGUGUGCCGCCUGGGGAGUACGGUCGCAAGACUAAAACUCAAAGGAAUCGGCGGGG
RNAcentral lists this ribosomal RNA (397 nucleotides) under uncultured bacterium. RNAcentral's name for it is "partial 16S ribosomal RNA". It matches the Rfam family "Bacterial small subunit ribosomal RNA", at positions 523 to 918 of the family's 1533-position model. The record is from RNAcentral.